AUUGAACGCUGGCGGCAGGCUUAACACAUGCAAGUCGAGCGGAGCGAGGGUGCUUGCACCUUAGCUUAGCGGCGGACGGGUGAGUAAUGCUUAGGAAUCUGCCUAUUAGUGGGGGACAACAUUCCGAAAGGAAUGCUAAUACAGCAUACGCCCUUCGGGGGAAAGCAGGGGAUCUUAGGAACUUGAGCUAAUAGAUGAGCCUAAGUCGGAUUAGCUAGUUGGUGGGGUAAAGGCCUACCAAGGGGACGAGCUGUAGCGGGUCUGAGAGGAUGAUCCGCCACACUGGGACUGAGACACGGCCCAGACUCCUACGGGAGGCAGCAGUGGGGAAUAUUGGACAAUGGGCGGAAGCCUGAUCCAGCCAUGCCGCGUGUGUGAAGAAGGCCUUUUGGUUGUAAAGCACUUUAAGCGAGGAGGAGGCUACUUAGAUUAAUACUCUGGGAUAGUGGACGUUACUCGCAGAAUAAGCACCGGCUAACUCUGUGCCAGCAGCCGCCGUAA
This 501-nucleotide ribosomal RNA is filed under the name uncultured bacterium. RNAcentral describes it as "partial 16S ribosomal RNA". It matches the Rfam family "Bacterial small subunit ribosomal RNA", at positions 30 to 523 of the family's 1533-position model. The record is from RNAcentral.